RNAcentral lists this long non-coding RNA (272 nucleotides) under Physcomitrium patens. RNAcentral's name for it is "long non-coding RNA (PPAT_LNC003083)". The record is from RNAcentral. Lineage: Eukaryota; Viridiplantae; Streptophyta; Bryopsida; Funariales; Funariaceae.
UGCAAAGAGUCUUCCAUGUAUCUGCUGCCGCUUUGCAAGAAAUGACAUGAGCAAAAUUGCUUUCAUCUAAAUUAGUGGCAAUUAUGCCAAAAGCCUUCUUCUCUUGUCUUUUGAAGUCUUUUUGCUCAUUGAUGCUUGCCUCUAUCCCAGGUGCAAGUUCCUCCUCAUCUACUAUCUCCCAAAGAUCCAAUGAUACCAAAAGUAGCUUCAUUUUGGCCUUCCAGUGGUGAAAGUUAUCACCUCUAAACUUUUCAACAACUCUUAAGCUAUCA